Long non-coding RNA from Scylla paramamosain (green mud crab), 1077 nucleotides. RefSeq lists it as uncharacterized. The record is from RefSeq and is a predicted model, not a curated record. NCBI's taxonomy places the organism in Eukaryota, Metazoa, Arthropoda, Malacostraca, Decapoda, Portunidae. The transcript is spliced from 4 exons.
UCUCUUUCUCUAUCUCUCUCUCCCGCUGCUUCCUUGGUUUAGUGUUGCCUGUGUUGUGCCCGAAAGCAGUGUUGUAGAUUUUAUUGCGCUGUGCCCGUAAUCAUUGAGUGACCACCCUGUGCGUGUGUUGCCGCGUCAGGAAGGGAGUGUUGCGUCUCCAGGAGGGUCUUCCCCUUCCGAGUUGCGUCUGCGCUUGCUUCCUUCGUCAGGCACCUCCCGCCUCACGCCUUGCUUCCUCCCGUCUCCCAGAGUCUACACACCUGCACUCUUGAGAUUUGCAUCAACCAGCAGCAGCAGCAGCAGCAGCAUGUCAGUAUUAGCAGGAGUAGUGAAUGGUCACUCGUAUGUGGUGACUACUUGGACUAUCAGGCCGCCCUUGUAGUGUGCUGGACUAUUGGUCAACAAGGAGCCCUGAAAGUUACGUGGUACAACUAUUUCGGCGAUAGUAAUGGCUGUAAGUAGUAGUAGUAGUUGUAGUAAUAGUAGUAGUAAUAGUAGUUAUGCGUGUAAUGUCAAUAUGGUCCAUUUUGUAACUGUAAUUGGAAAAAUUCUCGACUUUAUGUUUCUUAAAGGCGUGACGUAAUUAGAGAAAACGUAUGUAUUUUAAGGGACACUAGCCUGUACUUCAUUAUUCCUGUUUAUUGCUAUUAUAGGAGUUUCUUGAUAGUUUUACUUGUAUAUACUAUUUAAAUCUACUAUUCAAUUUAUUAUGUGUAAGUGGGAGAUGUCAGAGAAAGAGCCAUAUUUAUAAUUUUCAUUUGUAAGGUCAAUAAGGUCCAUUUUAUUAAGUAAAUUUAUAAGAUGCUCGACCUUAUGUUUCUUAAAUGAGUGACGUAAUUAGAGAAAACGUGUGUCUUUUAAGGAACACUAACCUAUACUUCAUUAAUGUGGUUAUUGUUGUUAUACGAGUUUUCCGGUGUAUAUACUAUUUAAAUCUACUAUUUUGUGUUGUAUAAUACUAUGUUUGAAUGGUAAAACUAAGAGAAAGAGUCAUAUUUGUAAUGUUUACAUGUAAGGUCAAUAUGGUCUAGUCUGUAACUGUAAUUUGAAGGAUUUUCAACCUUUUGUUUCUUAGUA